GGGUGCGAUCAUACCAGCACUAAUGCACCGGAUCCCAUCAGAAUUCCGAAGUUGAGCGUGCUUGGGCGAGAGUAGUACUAGGAUGGGUGACCCCCUGGGAAGUCCUCGUGUUGCACCCC
Erythranthe guttata (spotted monkey flower) is the source of this 119-nucleotide non-coding RNA. The record is from Rfam. Lineage: Eukaryota; Viridiplantae; Streptophyta; Magnoliopsida; Lamiales; Phrymaceae.